RNAcentral lists this ribosomal RNA (440 nucleotides) under uncultured bacterium. RNAcentral's name for it is "partial 16S ribosomal RNA". It matches the Rfam family "Bacterial small subunit ribosomal RNA", at positions 338 to 795 of the family's 1533-position model. The record is from RNAcentral.
CCUACGGGAGGCAGCAGUGGGGAAUAUUGCACAAUGGGGGAAACCCUGAUGCAGCGACGCCGCGUGAGUGAAGAAGUAUUUCGGUAUGUAAAGCUCUAUCAGCAGGGAAGAAAAUGACAGUACCUGACCAAGAAGCCCCGGCUAACUACGUGCCAGCAGCCGCGGUAAUACGUAGGGGGCAAGCGUUAUCCGGAUUUACUGGGUUUAAAGGGUGCGUAGGCGGUGAUGUAAGUCUGGUGUGAAAGCCCGGGGCUGAACCCCGGGACUGCGUUGGAAACUGUGUAACUGGAUUACCGGAGAGGCAGGAGGAAUUCCUGGUGUAGCGGUGAAAUGCGUAGAUAUCAGGAGGAACACCGGUGGCGAAGGCGGCUUGCUGGACUGAGACUGACGCUGAGGCACGAAAGCGUGGGGAGCGAACAGGAUUAGAUACCCGAGUAGUC